CCUACGGGAGGCAGCAGUGGGGAAUAUUGGACAAUGGGGGGAACCCUGAUCCAGCCAUGCCGCGUGUGUGAAGAAGGCCCUCGGGUUGUAAAGCACUUUCAGUGAGGAAGAACGCCUGGUGGUUAAUACCCAUCAGGAAAGACAUCACUCACAGAAGAAGCACCGGCUAACUCCGUGCCAGCAGCCGCGGUAAUACGGAGGGUGCGAGCGUUAAUCGGAAUUACUGGGCGUAAAGCGCGCGUAGGUGGCUUGAUAAGCCGGUUGUGAAAGCCCCGGGCUCAACCUGGGAACGGCAUCCGGAACUGUCAAGCUAGAGUGCAGGAGAGGAAGGUAGAAUUCCCGGUGUAGCGGUGAAAUGCGUAGAGAUCGGGAGGAAUACCAGUGGCGAAGGCGGCCUUCUGGACUGACACUGACACUGAGGUGGGAAAGCGUGGGUAGCAAACAGGAUUAGAUACCCGUGUAGUC
RNAcentral lists this ribosomal RNA (465 nucleotides) under Vreelandella stevensii. Its description in RNAcentral is "partial 16S ribosomal RNA". It matches the Rfam family "Bacterial small subunit ribosomal RNA", at positions 338 to 795 of the family's 1533-position model. The record is from RNAcentral. Lineage: Bacteria; Pseudomonadati; Pseudomonadota; Gammaproteobacteria; Oceanospirillales; Halomonadaceae.